GCCACCUCAGUGGUGACUGUAUGCUUGAAUCUAUCCACAGGAUUUUCUUCUCAGAAUACUUGGAUUUUGAUGAUGGGAGACGUAGACCUGAGAAGGGAGCCCCUGAUGACCUUUUCUGAAGACACACGUGCACCUCCUGGGAAAGUAUUUUGCAAGAUUUGAAGCCUGGAGUUUUCCCCUUUCUUCUUGCUAUCUAUCUCUCCUCUAUCUUCUGCCCCAUUCUCAUUCAGUUAAUUAAUCUCUUUCUUUUCCUCCUUUUCUCCCUUCCUCCAUCCUAAGCCCAGCACAAGAUCCCUUCUUCCUCCUGGAGAAGUUUACCUUUGCUCAGAAGAAAGAAGUAGGGUAAAGAGAAAGAUUUCUUUCUGCUCAGGAGUAAAAACAAAAUGAAUACAACCUCAGAAAAUUAGUACAUAAAGAAUUUAAAUUGAAAAGGGGAAGUUGAUAAGAAGAGAUGAGAUCCAGACCAUCCUGUCAGAAAGGAAGCAUCCAGUUUGACUCGAUCUUGUUGCCAAAGCCCUGUCUUUCACUCAAUCCUUUUAAAUGCACAAAAAACUAAGCAACAAUGCAUUCUGCUGUCAUUUAUUGUUUAAAAAAUAAAUUUAAAGAAACUAAGCAACAAUCAAACCCUUUUUUUUUUUUUUUUUUGGUGCCAAGGAUUGAAUUCAGAGACAUUCAACCACUGAGCCACAUUCCUAGCCCUAUUUUUUGUAUUUUAUUCAGAGACAGGGUCUCACUGAGUUGCUUAGCACCAUGCUUUUGCUGAGACUGGCUUUGAAAUUGCAAUCCUCCUGCCUUAGCCUCCUAAGCCACUGGGAUUAUAGGCAUGUGCCACCCUACCUAGUCCAACCUACUUUUAACUACUUAAUAUUAUUGCUUUUAUUUAUUUAUUUAUUUAUUUGGAGUACUGGGGAUUUAACCCAGGGGUACUUGACCACUGUGCCACAUCCCCAGCCCUUUUCAUUUUUUAUUUUGAGACAGUAUUUCAAGAAGUUCUUGAGAGCCUCACUAAGUUGUGUAGGAUCUCACUAAAUUGCUAAGACUGACCUUGAACUUAUGAUCCUCCUGCCUCAGCCUCCCAGGUCACUGAGAUUGCAGGUGUGCACAAACACACCUGGCUGCUAUUGCUUUUAAGUACCAACCAUCUGCCUUUCUGUUUCCAUCUGUUCUGUGGAAUAUUUGAUGUUGUACAUCAGUGUUAAUGACUGAAUUUUGAGGUAUUUUGUGAAUAAAAAAA
Molecule: long non-coding RNA, 1234 nt
Filed under: Marmota monax (woodchuck)
Lineage: Eukaryota; Metazoa; Chordata; Mammalia; Rodentia; Sciuridae
Source: RNAcentral